This is a long non-coding RNA of Mercenaria mercenaria, 1440 nucleotides long. RefSeq lists it as uncharacterized. NCBI's taxonomy places the organism in Eukaryota, Metazoa, Mollusca, Bivalvia, Venerida, Veneridae. The transcript is spliced from 4 exons. The record is from RefSeq and is a predicted model, not a curated record.
CUGGCAAAAUGUAGAUAACAUAAACAUUCUACGUCUUUCUCACGAACAAAAUCUUUGUGACUGGAAGGAUCCUUAUUAAAGAAGUUAAAACUUGAAUAAUAUGUAAUAAUUUAACGCGAAUAGGUGAUGACGAAAGUCAACUUCUGCUUUGGGAUACUUGUGCCUAUGAUAUCCUUAGUGUAACACAGUCAUGUCACCCACGUUGGAAACAUACAAAACGCCAGUAGAGUACCAGUUCAUGUUCAAAAGCCAAAACUAUCGAAAAAUCAAAGGAAGAUAUGAAAGAAAAUCAUAGCUAGAAUGGUUAUAGUAGACGCAAAACGGAAGAACCUGGUCACAAUCAAAACUUCAGGGGCACUUUUAAAUGAAGAUAGCACAACAACUAUUACUGAUGACGGUGCAAGGGCAAAAAAUGCACUAGUGAGCAAGCACUGGAGUACAAUAUCCGAAUAUACAAAUAUAGAUAAUAACAACGAAAUAAAAAAUUAUGCUUCCUGGGCAGCAAGACAUUAAUUACUUCAAUACUUCCGUUCAAGAUAGCAAAACAGUUGGUAGGAUGGAGCAGAGUCAAAUGAGUGUGACAAUAUUUUAUGAGUAAUUCAGGAACUUUGCAAUUCCUUAAUUUACAAGUCAUUUGGUAAAAACUGUAUUGCCUUCAACAAAGACAUGGCACAUGGCAUCGAAAUUAAUACUACCUUGAUCGUCUAGAAUCAGAGCAACACGGGAAUAAACUCGCACUUGUGAUUACAGUCCGUUAUAGGACAUUUAUAAUUUGCCUACAUGGUCAUAAAACUUGGGCAAUUUUGGAGACGCAUUCAGGACUACACUCUCAAACAACGUUAUUCAUUGAUGUAAGGGACUUAGGUCAUACCUUGUUCUUCGGCGAAGACAGUUUUUGUACACUGUUCAGUGGAGACCGAUUUUAUAUUGUUAGAUGUUCAAUGAAAUCAUAUUUGCUCAACGUUUUAAAGAUUUUUAUGAAAACCUGAAAAUGUAUUAUUCUUACCAUUUAAAGGACAUUUGAAUUUAUACACAGCCAUGGCACAACUUUUCAUAGUGCAUAUGACUUUAAAAGAUAUAGGUCACCAAAUAUUGUUUAACGCGACGCGAAUUUAUUAAUUUUAAAGUAUUACAGCUAGGAGUAUCCUCCCCUACUCCACCCCUACAUCCAAAUUUUUAACUGCCUGAUGUGCAGUCUCUCUGUCAACUUGGGACAUUCACAUAAAUAGAGAACAUAUAAUGGGCAGAUUUUGUGAUAAAUACCUAUCAAACACUUCUAGAUUUAAAACUGAAAUAGACACUGUCACUCGUUUUUCUUUCCAAUAACUAUAACCUCGGGGAAAAAACAUUUCCAAUUGCUGUCUAGAAAGUUUAGUCAUUCCAAUGUGUGAUACAUUCAUAUAACAUUUUCAGAAUUAUAAAUAAAAAAUACUCAAAUGG